CUGAACCAGCCAAGUAGCGUGAAGGAUGACUGCCCUAUGGGUUGUAAACUUCUUUUAUAUGGGAAUAAAGUGGUCCACGUGUGGCUUUUUGUAUGUACCAUAUGAAUAAGGAUCGGCUAACUCCGUGCCAGCAGCCGCGGUAAUACGGAGGAUCCGAGCGUUAUCCGGAUUU
RNAcentral lists this ribosomal RNA (172 nucleotides) under uncultured bacterium. RNAcentral describes it as "partial 16S ribosomal RNA". It matches the Rfam family "Bacterial small subunit ribosomal RNA", at positions 383 to 552 of the family's 1533-position model. The record is from RNAcentral.